CCAUCCUUAGCAUGUAUAAAAGGCACAGAGUUGAAUUAACUGGGGUUGGUUUCAAACUUUGAUGUGGGCAUGAUGAGUUUUCUCCUGCUGCUGUGUCUUCUGCUAAUCUCACCAACUCAGAUUUGACAGAUUCUGGAUCAGCUUCUUCUCCCAGUCCUACCAUUACUUCAGAGUCAACAACUAUCGGAAAUACCACGGAAUCUACUACUAAAACUCCUGCUUCUACCAUCACUUCUACAACUGUAUCUUCAAUCCAACCAAAUAAUUGCCGUUUCAAGAACUACGCGAAUGUGGCCAAAUGCUGUGCAAACCCACCAAGUGCUCUUGUGGCCUUCCAAGGAUUUGAGAAGACCUGCAGGGUCACCAAAGGAGCUCUAAACGCGUUCAAUAUUUUCUCGCUCAACAAACAGCAGAGCGCUUCGAAUUCACCUGCCAACUCGACUCCUUCCAAAAUCGCCAGGUCAAAAAGGCCUUUGGCAAGAACGCUGUUCGUGUUCAAUUCAGAUAUUUUCACACAGCAAAUUAAUUCAAAUAUUUCAGUGCUUCGUCAACUGCUACUUGGAAGCCAAUGGGGCCCUGUCGGCAGCUAACGAAAUCGACGAAGUUGCGCUGACCGACCUCUUGACUGCCACGCAGACUGACGACACGUGGAUUUCAACGAUUUCGUCAGCAGUACCCGAAUGCAUUUGCACGGCUGAAGCUCUAAACGUUCCCGACUUUGUCGCGGGGAAAUUGUCAUGCUCUGGCAAAGCUUUCGUGGUGGUGCAGUGUGUUCUCCUUAAAAUGAUCAAUGUAAUUUAAAAAUUU
Long non-coding RNA from Neocloeon triangulifer, 807 nucleotides. RefSeq lists it as uncharacterized. The transcript is spliced from 5 exons. The record is from RefSeq and is a predicted model, not a curated record. NCBI's taxonomy places the organism in Eukaryota, Metazoa, Arthropoda, Insecta, Ephemeroptera, Baetidae.